CCUUUGUGCCCAGGCACCACAAGAACUGACUUUUCCAGUGGAGAGUUACAGGAAAAGAAGAUGUGAUGGAUUUCUAUGACACAAGAAACUCCUCUCAGAUUUGCCCCUUUCCCUACUAUUGAUUAAUCACCCACAGUAAACUCUUCAGAGUAAACUCUGCAUGUAUCUUCCUGUCUUCCAGUAGACUCCAUCAGUUAGAAAGUAAGCUUUA
RNAcentral lists this long non-coding RNA (211 nucleotides) under Coturnix japonica (Japanese quail). RNAcentral describes it as "lncRNA (ENSCJPG00005012581.1)". Lineage: Eukaryota; Metazoa; Chordata; Aves; Galliformes; Phasianidae. The record is from RNAcentral.